GCCCCCGUAGUUCAACGGACAGAACAAGAGACUCCUAAGCUCUGGAUCCAAGUUCGACUCUUGGUGGGGGCACCG
This 75-nucleotide transfer RNA is filed under the name Candidatus Jorgensenbacteria bacterium RIFCSPLOWO2_12_FULL_42_11. RNAcentral's name for it is "tRNA-Arg". It matches the Rfam family "tRNA". From Rfam's summary of the family: Transfer RNA (tRNA) molecules are approximately 80 nucleotides in length. Their secondary structure includes four short double-helical elements and three loops (D, anti-codon, and T loops). Further hydrogen bonds mediate the characteristic L-shaped molecular structure. tRNAs have two regions of fundamental functional importance: the anti-codon, which is responsible for specific mRNA codon recognition, and the 3' end, to which the tRNAs corresponding amino acid is attached (by aminoacyl-tRNA synthetases). tRNAs cope with the degeneracy of the genetic code in two manners: having more than one tRNA (with a specific anti-codon) for a particular amino acid; and 'wobble' base-pairing, i.e. permitting non-standard base-pairing at the 3rd anti-codon position. The record is from RNAcentral. Lineage: Bacteria; Candidatus Joergenseniibacteriota.